RNAcentral lists this ribosomal RNA (497 nucleotides) under uncultured bacterium. RNAcentral describes it as "partial 16S ribosomal RNA". It matches the Rfam family "Bacterial small subunit ribosomal RNA", at positions 28 to 507 of the family's 1533-position model. The record is from RNAcentral.
GAUGAACGCUGGCGGCGUGCCUAAUACAUGCAAGUCGAGCGAACGGACGAGAAGCUUGCUUUUCUGACGUUAGCGGCGGACGGGUGAGUAACACGUGGAUAACCUACCUAUAAGACUGGGAUAACUUCGGGAAACCGGAGCUAAUACCGGAUAAUAUUUUGAACCGCAUGGUUCAAAAGUGAAAGACGGUCUUGCUGUCACUUAUAGAUGGAUCCGCGCUGCAUUAGCUAGUUGGUAAGGUAACGGCCUACCAAGGCAACGAUGCAUAGCCGACCUGAGAGGGUGAUCGGCCACACUGGAACUGAGACACGGUCCAGACUCCUACGGGAGGCAGCAGUAGGGAAUCUUCCGCAAUGGGCGAAAGCCUGACGGAGCAACGCCGCGUGAGUGAUGGAGGUCUUCGGAUCGUAAAACUCUGUUAUUAGGGAAGAACAUAUGUGUAAGUAACUAUGCACGUCUUGACGGUACCUAAUCAGAAAGCCACGGCUAACUACGUG